This is a non-coding RNA of Macaca mulatta (Rhesus monkey), 2671 nucleotides long. NCBI's taxonomy places the organism in Eukaryota, Metazoa, Chordata, Mammalia, Primates, Cercopithecidae. The record is from RefSeq and is a predicted model, not a curated record.
GAGACCGAGCCUGAAAAUGCGAAGCAGAGAGGCAGGAUCAAAAUUGAGACGAAUCCGGGAACCUGCCAAUGGGUCUCCGGAUGCGUUCUCUGAAACUGGAGGAUAUCGGGAGGAAAGGCUCUCCGAUGCGGAGAUAAUGCGGAAACUCUUGGCAUGGUUGGCUGUAGGUACCUGAUACGGGAGGAGCGGGAGUCAAACAGGAUACGCCGACUUUUAAUUCGAGGAACCCUUUUCUGAAACACUGCCACAAUGAAGGACAUAAGGAGUCAUGCUCAGAGAUGUCAGGAAAAGAUACAUGGGUCUUGGAAGAUAAUUACUCAAAAUAUGCAGGGGAAGGAAUAAAAUUGAAGGGUGUUUUUCUUAGAGAACAUCAUUUGUCAUAUUUAUUUGAUCAAGAAGUUGAAGAUUUAUGUAAUAAGGUAUGGGACUUACACAUUUAUUUUGAUAAAAGAACACAAAAAAGGUCAGGUAUGAGUAGAAAAUUCACAUUUAUUGAGUCUAAUGUGGAUACUGUACUCUGAAUUAAAAUUUUCUUUUUGUUACUCUUCCAGCUUUUAAAGAUAAUAAGUAUUAUUUCAAAAUAGUAUUUUUUAAAUUAAUAGAUUCAAUUCAGGAAAGGCAUUGGAGGGGGUGGAGCUUUUAACUUUGACAGUCUCACUCUGUUGCCCAGGCUGGAGUGCAGUGGCACAAUCUCUGCUCACUGCAAUCUCUGCCUCCUGGGUUUAAACAGUUAUUGUGGCUCAGCUUCCGAAGUGGCUGGGAUUAGAGGCGCAUGCCACCAUGCCCAGCUAAUUUUUUUUAUUAAAUAGAGACCAGGUUUUGCCAUGUUGGCCAGACUGGUCUCAAACUUCCAGCCUCAAGUGAUCCGCCUACCUUGGCCUCCCAGAGUGCUGGGAUUAUAGUCAUGAGCCACUGCACCUGGCUGUUGGUUAUCUUUUCUUAGAAAUAAUGAUGUAAUCUUUUCAGCACCUGAAUUCUUAAAGAUCCAGGGUUUACAAAUGACUCUUAGAUAUGUCAAGGAUGACUAUCCUAUAACUUAAGGAAGUCAGGAACAGUAGAAAAGAAGGUGAUAGGAAACUAGGAAUCUUAAAACUAGUUCUGUCAUUAAUUAGGCUUGUUAUUGUGGGUAUUUCUCAAAUUUAAGAAAUAUGAGGGGUCUUGAAAAAGUUCAUGGAAAAUGCAUAUCAUGAAAAAACUGCAUGGAUUUCAAAAUUUUUGGACCAAAAUAAACUCCUACUAACUUGUUAUAACAUGUUUGAACAGGAUCUAGUUUGAAGCACUAAGAAGAAUAAGACAUCAGUUUGAGAAGAGGCUCUAUCAGAGCAACACGAAUUCUGCUAAAAUUGAAGGAAGAACAAACAUCAAAUAUAUGUUGACACUUGGGUGGAAGAAUGGUGAGCUAAUUGAUGCUUUAUGAAAAAUUUAUGGGGACAAUGCUCCAAAGAAAUCAGUUUACAAAUGGAUAACUCGUUUUAAGAAGGGAUAAGGUAAUGUUGAAGAAGAAGCCCACAGUGGCAGAUCAUCCACAUCAGUUUGUGAGAAAAAAAUUAGUUCAUGGCAUAAUUGAAGAAAACCAACAAUUAACAGCAGAGAUGACAGCCAACACCAUAGACAUCUCAGUUGGUUCACCUUACACAAUUUUGACUGGAAAAGUUCAGCAAACUUUAUACCCGAUAGGUACCAAAACCACUGCACCCAGAUCAGCUACAGACAAGAACAGAACUUUCAAUGGAAAUUUUAAAUAAGUGGGAUCAGGAUCGUGAAGCCUUUCAUUGAAAAAUUGUAACAGGAGAUGAAACAUGGUUUUACCAGCGCAAUCCUGAAGACAAAACACAAAGCAAUGUUACCAAGAUAAGAAGUAGUUCAGUCAAAGCACAAGUGGACUGGUUGAGAACAAAGGUCAUGGCAACAGCUUUUGAAUGCUCAAGGCAUUUUGCUUGUUGACUUUCUGUAGGGCCAAAGAAUGGUAACAUGUGCUUAUCAUGGGAGUAUUUUGAGACACUGAGCCAAAGCUUUAGCAGAAAAAUGCCUGAGAAAGAUCAGAGAGUUCUUCACCACAACAAUGUUCCUACUCAUCCCUCUCAUCAAACAAGGGCAAUUUUGCAAGAGUUUUGAUGGGAAAUCACUAGGUAUCCACCCUACAGUCCUGGUUUGGCUCCUCCUGACUUUUUGUUUCCUAAUCUUAAAAAUUUUUUUAAGGGAAGUACAUUUUUCUAAAGUUAAUGUAAAAACACUGCAUUGAUGUGGGUAAAUUCCCAGAACUCUCAGUUCUUUAGGGAUGGACUAAAUUUUAUAGCUGGUAUCAUCACUUACAAAAGUGUCUUGAACCCUAUAGAGCUAAUGUUCAGAAAUAUCGUUUAUAUUUUUAUCUUUUAAUUCCAUUUUUCUACAAACUUUUUGAAGUCUCCUUGAAUAUGCACCCUUUAUAAAAGGGAAAAAUUCUGUGACUAAUGUUGACUUAAUGCUGACUUAAUUUUCUAUUUUGUAAAUAUAUACAAACGUAAAAGUUGAUACAAAUUUUGUUCAUAGCCCUUAACAAACAAGUUUGUGAAAUAAAUGCAUUCAGAAACAAACUAAAACAUUAAUGAAAUGGAUGCUACUGUUUUACUGAGGUGUAAACAUAAUACUGGCUGCUAUGGAAAAGUUACAUAAACAGUCAUGUGCCUUGUGA